Long non-coding RNA from Meriones unguiculatus (Mongolian gerbil), 698 nucleotides. RefSeq lists it as uncharacterized. The transcript has 3 exons. NCBI's taxonomy places the organism in Eukaryota, Metazoa, Chordata, Mammalia, Rodentia, Muridae. The record is from RefSeq and is a predicted model, not a curated record.
UUAGGCGGAUCACUGGAGGAAACCCGAGUCUGACAGGGAUUCCCAAGUUGGAAAAUAACCUUGAAAUUUCUGGUCUGCCUCGGAGGUGGGGAUGGCACCACAGAGCGGGUGUGAAUUCUGGCUGGCCAGUGAGGAGAGGAGCUGGCUGUGGAUGGAGUCUCUCUCUGCCCCUGGUGGUCUCUGUCCCGGGAGAAGAAGAAAGGCAGAGGCUGGCAAGAUGGCUCAGUGGCUGAAGACUCCUGCUUCUACAUUGGAUGACCUGAGUUCAAUCCCGGGGGACCUCCAUGGUGGAAGGAGAGAACUGACUUCCACAAGUGUCCUCUGGCCCCCACAUUUGUGCUUUGCACCCCCGCCCAAUAACUAAAAAUGUGUAGGGUGUACCAGAAAAAGCGCACAAAAAGAUGGGCAGAAGAAAACAUACCGGGGCUCACAAGAUGGCUCAGCCUGUAAAGGCACCUGAUGCCAAAGCGAGGAACUCUGGGAUAGAGACAGAGGGGAGACCCCACACUGCCCCCCGCCCCACUCUGAGGAAGAUGGACAUAUGAAACCGAGGAGAGGUGACCAGUCAGGGGCGCGCACGGAACAGAAUAUAUGGGUAAUGUAAGUUAUGAGCUCAAUGGGGAACGAGCCGAAGCUUAUGGUCUAGGCAUUUUUUCAUACAUAUUAAAGUCUCAGAGCGGUUCCAACGACCGACUCCU